CAGAAUCUGUUUAUAGCUACAAAAAGUGACAGAUCAGUGAUGGGAAAUGACUGGGCAAAUCCCAAUCCUCCAGCACCAGGCUGACAGUAAGUCUGAAUCCACUACUGAACAGUUCUUAUUGCAGCCUGGCUUGUCAAAUGUUAUCACAAAAAUAUAAUUAGUCUGCACUAAUUUAAUCAAAAUCACAAAGACCAUUUUUUUUUCAGUACGGCUACAGAACUUGUACAGCUCCUCAGGGUCAUCACUGGAGUUCAUAAUGGGUUUCAUCCAAACGCCUUUUACAACUUUCUUGAAUGCUUCUGAUCUAAUGUGCCUGAGUAUCAUUGAAAAUAACGUCUUUCCAAAAUCUGCUGUUUGACAACAUUAUCCUCCUAAAUAAUAUUUCAAUCACUUCAGCUUGGGGUUUGUUUCAUUCCAGAAAGUUCCAGACACUUUUAGAACACAGUGCUGGAAUGUCAACAAAAUUAAAUAAAGUUGAACAUUGUAUAUUAACUUCAUAUUAAUAUCAAUGAUUUCUAUUCAUUCCUCCAUCAGAAAUGAAUAGUUCAAGAUUGAGAGUUGAAAACCGAUUGGUGGCUUUAGUACCUUCAGAUUACUGUUUUUGCCAAACAUUUUGGAAUGUGAUUCGUUCUUCUGCUGUUAAAGCUCAUCUGCCUCGCAGUUUUGACGUAAAGCGCAUUCUGAAAUGAUUUUCUUCCCACCAUGGUUGUAAAGAGCAGUUACUUGAAUGACCAAUAAUAGCCAUUAUUGGAAAUAAUGGGUCACAACUCUUGCUGGAACCUGCUACAAAAUACGCACAAUAUUAAUGAAUAUAAUAACAAAGGCAAAUAUUAAAUAAUGUUUUUUUUCCUCCAAUGUUUUUCUGCCAUGGCAAAGGACUGAAUGUCUGAUAAGGUCAUACCUUCACCAUUCGUGACUUUUCUACAAUGCAACAUCUCUCUCGUGUAAUGGAAAGCUCGAUCUAUGUCCGCGUGCACAAUGACUCGGAACACUCCCAUUUUGCAUCCGCUCACCGUAAUUGCUUCCCAUCAGCCCCUUGUUCCCUAUUAAGGCUGCAUACGGAGUGAGCAAUGACAGCCAGGCCGGUUCUCCUUCAGCAGAGAUGAGACGAGGCCGCCACGGGGUCGUUACUCUGCUUAAUGCAGGAAUAAAAGAACUUCAUGUAGUAUGAAUUACGUUUUCCGCGCCAGAAACUAAGAAAGGAUUUGUAGAGGAGAAUGGUACAAAAUUUUUUUCAUCUGCUGUUCAAAUUUAUAUGUUUGGACGAAUUUUUCAAAUGAAAAAAAUCAGGGUCUUAACAAUGACUCUGUGCUGAUGCAGGCCAGAUUCAGGUCCAAGGUUAUGUCAGUGUUUCAUCAAGUAUUUCAUCACGUUACACCUAGCUAGCUGCCUACUGAUUAGAACAACAAUAAUAAAGUAGAUUUAUAAAUUUCUCCACUCAUAUACACCUGUUAUUAAUGCUGUGUUUCAUGUCUUGCUCCAUAAUCCUCCACAACAUUGCGUCAAACUCUGCAGGUGUACAUGGAUUAAAGGAAAUUAAAAUUUAACUCGACUUAAAACCCAUGUGCUGUUUAAUUUCAUCUGCUUUGACUUUAAAGCGUUUCGGGAGGACAGACUUCUAAUUUGAGACCCGUUUUAAAUAUGCUUUCCCAUGUGACACGCUUCAAUGGCGGGAGGCGGCUGCGCUGUGUUUUGAUCCUUGCUCUAAAGUCAUUUAAGCCAAUUAAAGGAGGGAACAUGCAAAAACACACGCGCCUCCAGAAGGCACUUGUGACUCGCCUCACGAGGGCGAAGGGGGAACGAUCUUCUCACAGGGCCCCCGCCGAGAGACUGCGAUUUGGAGAGGAGCACACUCGCACCAUCUGUUGUGUGUUUGUGAUAGUGAGAAUGAAGAGAAUUGAGGAAGAGGAAAGCGAGAUUGAAAACACAAGGUCAGGAACACAGGAGAAGAGAUCUCACAACAUGGAUGUAGCUGUUCUAGUGUCUGUUGUUUGUUUGUCCUUGACAUGACAUCAAUGUAUGUUUUAGUGUUAUGGUAACAAAACAAAAUUUCUUUCUGGCCGUUUGCUUCAUUCGGCAAGGACACACGAAAGUGCGAGAAAAAACAAACAAACAAAAAAGGAACUGAAUUCAGCUGGUGGGUAGUCUCAUGGCAAACCUUGAACCAACAGAAACCACAGUUGCUAUGACAUUCAGGUAUAUGGUUACUGCAAAAAAUUCAUCCAAAGUGAAUGUCAGAAUGAUAUAGUGAUAAAGCGAAAUAUCAUACAGACAUUCUCACUGAACACUUAAGUACAAUAAACUAUAGUUCUAUUUUAAUUCAAUUUAACACUAAACAAUUCCUCUGACACAGUGCAGAUUUUGAUAUCCAAUCAUGUACUGGUUAAUCCAAUCGUUAGAAAACUACACUUUAUCGCAAUAUUAUGUCAUCAUAUCAUUUUAUCCAGUCCUACAUUCAGCUGCCAGGGAUUUUGGAAUAUAGCCGUAUUUCACUGCCAGAAAAAUGACAAAAUGACAAUUGUUUAACCACAAAACAACAGUUUUAGUUGUGUUUACAUUAAAAGCUGUGGGGGAAAAAAAAUCAUGAAGAAGGGCAAAUUUCAUGAAAGCCAUGAAACCCCCAAUCAACCUCAUUCUGACCACUUUUGUUUUCCAUAAUCUGGGCCACUUCUGACCCUUUUCGUUUCCCACUUGCUAUGUGAGCAUUAUUUUCUUCUGUCGACUGGUUACACCUUUUCCUUUCCACACUUUUCUAAAGUAAUUAACUGCUUGGCGGUCUUCUCUGGCACGAAACAAUUCAGAUGACUUCUUCUUCGCCACCCUGCACAUAUUCCAAGUUAAUUAAAACCUGGAAUUUUGCCAUUGCUUCAUCUCUAACUAAAGAGAAGGAUGCAGCGGUGUUUCAGCUAUAUAGUUCACCCGGCUCUCUCUCCUCAUCAUUUGUGCACUUUUCUAAAAUGCUAAGCCUCCAAAGCAUGCUAAUAUCACUGUCAAUGCCACACACUCGCCAUCUUGUGCAUCGAAAAAACUAGCUGCAGUGAAGAAUUUGGAAGGUAUUUGGAAUUAAACAUGCGUACUGUAUGCAUAGGUUACCUUAAGAUGAACCUGAACAUAUUGCACUACUACACAGCAACGAAAGUAAUAUUGAGUACAUCGUAUAAAAACCACAGGAAGAGUUAAAAAAAGGAAAAAAAGAAAAGUACAGAAUGUUUAGUGGGAUAUUUUCUUUCACCUGGAGUCUCCUUGAUCGAUGAGCAUGUACAUUUCCCAGGACGUGUCCUCGGCGAUCGCCCCAUGGGACACCAGCAGACUGACUCCUGCACAAACAACACACCAGACAUCUGCCGUCAGCUCGAGCUUCAGAAAAGCCAUCGGAAAACUUUGGGUGAAUAUGUAACCGAUCACAUGGGAAUGGAAAUGCGUUUCAUUCCUGCGUCAAGCUUCCGGUGCUCAGACGUCAUCGAUUGACGACUACCUGCUAAAAGAAUUCUCUUCUUGGGAACAAGAUCUUGAUCUUGAUGAUUUCGUUGAUGUGGACUUUCCCUCGUGAUUUCCUGCUGACGGGAGACGGACAACGAGGAGAGCAUUUUCAAACCUGCCCUUGAUAAGGCUCCUCCAGACACUUUUCGUGUUUCUCUACACGACAGGACACUUUUGAACGCCCACUCAUCGAGGUUGCCUAGGCGACGUGUGAGCAUUCCCUCCGAACCAGGAGCAGAUUGAGUCUGUCGCCGGCGCUAAUUCCAUUACUAGCAAUAUGUCUGUAAAGAUUUUCAGCCGUACAUUUGUUACGCGCAAGAGGAACGUUGACGCAGAUGGCUAACAGACCUCAGUAAAGAACCUUUUUCAGUCCCAUACACACUGAGCCAAAAAAUACCCUCACAAAAAAAAAACAAAGACGAUACUCCGACUCCUAUACAAGACAUGAUUUAUUGACGCCGUCCUCCGUGUGAUGUGUGAGGUGACCGCUUUUUAUACGAUAUUGUUAGCAUAUCAGCUUCUCCUAAAAUGUCACCAUGAAGGUAAAUGUGCCUGAUGAAGUCAUUCGUUUUGGUGAAUGGAUCUUCAUUUGGCAGUUUAUAACUUUCUGUUCUUGUAGCUCAUAUGUAAAAUUAAAUAAAAGCCACACACCAGGCUCCAAGGACAGAAUGAUAAGCAAUCCAGCAUCCAUCUGCUUCAUAUCAGCUUCUCCAGUCCAGUAGACGUCUGCUACAGCUUAUUGAUCUGAGCUUUCAUUUCUCUGUGUUGUGGUGUUCCGUUUUAAUCUUUUUUUUUUUUUUUUUUUAAAGGUAGCUCUUACACUUGACUUGCUUGGCCCACUGUUCGAGUUUGAGUUCAGAAAACAUUGGUUCACUGCUUGAUCAUGGAGGAAAUGUAUCUGUAACAGCAUCCAAAAGGGAGCAGGAGCAAUAACUCCAAGACAUUUCUGCCUAAUCAAUAAAUAAGUCAACAUAUUCACACUUAAUUUAUUCUCAAAACCAAACAUUUUCAGCUGUUGAGAAAUCCUUAUAAAUAUUAAUCAUAUCUAAAUGUCCUGUUCAUAGUGUUAAUUAUCAUCAUCUUAUAACCACAUCUGCACAUGUGGUGUGUAUUAA
This is a long non-coding RNA of Hemibagrus wyckioides, 4595 nucleotides long. RefSeq lists it as uncharacterized. Lineage: Eukaryota; Metazoa; Chordata; Actinopteri; Siluriformes; Bagridae. The transcript has 4 exons. The record is from RefSeq and is a predicted model, not a curated record.